This 475-nucleotide ribosomal RNA is filed under the name uncultured organism. Its description in RNAcentral is "partial 16S ribosomal RNA". It matches the Rfam family "Bacterial small subunit ribosomal RNA", at positions 331 to 797 of the family's 1533-position model. The record is from RNAcentral.
GUACACUCCUGCGGGAGGCAGCAGUGGGGAAUAUUGCACAAUGGGCGCAAGCCUGAUGCAGCCAUGCCGCGUGUAUGAAGAAGGCCUUCGGGUUGUAAAGUACUUUCGGCGGGGAGGAAGGCAAUACGGUUAAUAACCGUGUUGAUUGACGUUACCCGCAGAAGAAGCACCGGCUAACUCCGUGCCAGCAGCCGCGGUAAUACGGAGGGUGCAAGCGUUAAUCGGAAUUACUGGGCGUAAAGCGCACGCAGGCGGUCUGUCAAGUCGGAUGUGAAAUCCCCGGGCUCAACCUGGGAACUGCAUUCGAAACUGGCAGGCUUGAGUCUUGUAGAGGGGGGUAGAAUUCCAGGUGUAGCGGUGAAAUGCGUAGAGAUCUGGAGGAAUACCGGUGGCGAAGGCGGCCCCCUGGACAAAGACUGACGCUCAGGUGCGAAAGCGUGGGGAGCAAACAGGAUUAGAAACCCGUGUAGUCCCA